RNAcentral lists this ribosomal RNA (252 nucleotides) under uncultured bacterium. RNAcentral's name for it is "partial 16S ribosomal RNA". It matches the Rfam family "Bacterial small subunit ribosomal RNA", at positions 57 to 305 of the family's 1533-position model. The record is from RNAcentral.
GCAAGUCGAGCGGAAACGAUAAAGAGCUUGCUCUUUAGGCGUCGAGCGGCGGACGGGUGAGUAAUGCCUAGGGAACUGCCCAGUCGAGGGGGAUAACAGUUGGAAACGACUGCUAAUACCGCAUACGCCCUACGGGGGAAAAGAGGGGACCUUCGGGCCUUCUGCGAUUGGAUGUACCUAGGUGGGAUUAGCUAGUUGGUGAGGUAAUGGCUCACCAAGGCGACGAUCCCUAGCUGUUCUGAGAGGAUGAUC